Molecule: unclassified non-coding RNA, 269 nt
Filed under: Hevea brasiliensis (rubber tree)
Lineage: Eukaryota; Viridiplantae; Streptophyta; Magnoliopsida; Malpighiales; Euphorbiaceae
Source: RNAcentral
GGCGGCGUCCGUGAGCAGGAUCGGUACCUUCCGAUCGCCAACAUCAGCCGGAUCAUGAAGAAGGCGGUACCGGCGAACGGGAAAAUUGCCAAGGACGCCAAGGACACGAUGCAGGAGUGCGUGUCGGAGUUCAUUAGUUUCAUCACUAGCGAGGCGAGCGACAAGUGUCAACGGGAGAAGCGGAAGACGAUCAAUGGAGAUGAUCUGCUCUGGGCGAUGGCGACUCUUGGGUUCGAGGACUACAUCGAGCCGCUAAAGCUGUACUUGCA